This 1885-nucleotide long non-coding RNA is filed under the name Nicotiana benthamiana. Its description in RNAcentral is "long non-coding RNA (NBEN_LNC009548)". The record is from RNAcentral. Lineage: Eukaryota; Viridiplantae; Streptophyta; Magnoliopsida; Solanales; Solanaceae.
UUUAUAUCAGUGGUAACAACAUUAUUACAAAUGGAAUUAUUUACAAUUGGAGGCAAGACAACAAUUUUGCUGUCAGACACAUUGUCAUCAUUAUAAAAAUCAGACAAAGCACAUACAGAAGUAAAAGAAGAACCAGGAGAGGAAGAAGGGGAAGGUGGCACCCAAGACAGUUUGUAUAGUCCAGCUUCCUCUUUACCAAGAUCCAGAGGCCUCUUCAGAGAAGGGUCAUGUAUCAUGUGAAGUAAACAGGAAGUUGGAGUAAACAAAACUAUACAGUGCAAUUGUUUUAUCAACUUGUGAACAGAAAUCAAGUUGNNNNNNNNNNNNNNNNNNNNNNNNNNNNNNNNNNNNNNNNNNNNNNNNNCCCUAACUUGGUCUGUUGCAACAAGCUCAUCAAUUGAUCAUAUUGGUGUCUGCUCAACCCUGGUAUCACAGAGCUGUGACCAUCUAUGUGUGUAACAUAUUGAUGGCUGGCAGGAGGAUCCCCAAGAGGAACACACAUAGUAGAAUUACCAUGAUUAACAAACACACUUUCCUCACCAGUGGAGACAUGAGCAGUUGCAGAUUUCCUUCCCUUGUUGUAUUGUAUGUUUUGAAGAAACCCAUGGAUCUUGUAGCACUUAUCAAUUAAGUGCCCAGAUUUCUUGCAGUAUCUGCAAAAUAUGGGCCCUCUGCUUUGCUCAAAAUUAACUCUGGGUAUGAAAAUAUGGGGAUUAGGCAUUGUGGCCUGAUUAAACCCAACUGAGUGCUUAUUUGCAUUACCAUUAAAAGACAUAGAGUCUGGACUGAUUUGAGAAAUAGAUUGAACUUGUCUCUGUUUCUCAUCAUUAAGCACUAUAUUGUAAACAGUGUCAAGGGAAGGAAAUGGCUGCAUCAUCAACAAGUUACUCCUUUUGCUCAAAAUUAACUCUGGGUCUGAAAAUAGGGGGACGAGGAACUGUGGGUUGAUUAAACCCAACUGAGUGCUUAUUUGCAUUAGCAUUAAAAGACAUAGAGUCUGGACUGAUUCACUGCGGCCUGAUUAAACCCAACUGAGUGCUUGUUUGCAUGAGCAUUAAAAAACAUAGAGUCUGGACUGAUUUGAGAAAUAGAUUGAACUUGUCUCCGUUUCUCAUCAUUAAGCACUAUAUUGUAAACACUGUCAAGGGAAGGAAAUGGCUGCAUCAUCAACAAAUUACUCCUUACCCCUAUGUAUGCUUCAUUUAACCCCAUAAGAAACUGGAAUACCUUAUUUUCAUCAUCUUCCUCAAUUAUUCCAUUAUUAGCAGAACACGCACAUCUCUGCCCAUGAUUUGUGCACAUUGUGCCCAACUCAUCCCACAGGCCUUUGAGCUUGUUAAAGUAUGAGGCUAUGUCUAAGCAGCCUUGAGAUGUAUGGGAAAGUUCCCUUUUUAAUUCAAAGAUUUUGGUCUUGUUAGGGUUACCAUAUCUUUUCUCAAUUUGGGACCAUAUACUUUGUGCAGUAUCAGAAUACUGCACACUAUCAGCAAUCUGAGAAGAUAAGGAAGAGGUCAACCAGGAAAUGACCAUGUUAUUACAUCUAUCCCACAGCCUCUGUUGAGCCACAUUAGUGGUUGGUCGAGGACAUGAGCCGUCAACAAAUCCGAUUUUGUUUUUAGUAGAUAAUGCGACAAUCAUUUUUCUCCUCCAACCCCCAUAACCACUACCCGAGAAGGGAGUGGGUAUAAGAGAGACCCCAGGGACAUCAGAGGAAUAUACUAAGAGGGGGAUGGUAGAGUCUACCGAGGAGGAGGAGGAGGAGGUACCAGCAUUGGUAUUAGAAGCCAUGACUAAUGAAUCAGCUUGAAAGAAAAACAGUUUUGACAAGCAAAAUAUAACGGAACCAGAUACUCACAUACGGAACCAGAUAGUCACAUACAAAGCA